Molecule: long non-coding RNA, 3981 nt
Organism: Chlorocebus sabaeus (green monkey)
Lineage: Eukaryota; Metazoa; Chordata; Mammalia; Primates; Cercopithecidae
Source: RefSeq, a predicted model, not a curated record
UCUGGGUGGGCGUCAUCUAAUCAGCUGCCAGUGUGUCUAGAAUGAAGCAGGCAGAAGUUGGAAAGAGCAGACCUGCUAAGUCUUCCAGCCCUUGUCUUUCUCCUGUGCUGGAUUCUUCCUGCCCUCAAACAUCAGACUCUAUAUUCUUCAGCUUUUGGACUCAUGGACUGACACCAGUGGUUUGCCAGGGCCUCUUGCACCUUUGGUUACAGACUGAAGGCUGCACUGUCGGCUUCUCUACUUUUGAGGUUUUGGGACUCAGACUGAUCCACCACUGGCUUCCUUGCUCCUCAACUGGCAGACGUCUUCUCAUGGGACUUGACUUUAUGAUCGUAGUGUACUUCUACUAAUUAAAAAGAAAAACAUUAACUGUACGACAGCCUCAGGCAGGAACUUCAAGAGUUUUCCAGAGAAGGCAUUGUUAUCAGAAGAGAUGACAGCUCCAUGCCUGUUAUUGCCCCUGAAGACUUCCCAGUGGGACAAGAUAUGGAGGGCCAGGCUUCCUGCACCAGCCUCAUGGAUGAAUUGCAGGGAAGAAAACAAGGAAGAGAAUCACAAAGGAAAUCUCAAAGAAAAAGAAAUAGGAACUAAGAAAAAAGUUCCACCCAUGAAAGGUAACAACAUUUGAAACAAUCCAUGAAGCUAUCAAGAUGACAGCACUACUUGUUUGAUAAUUAUUCCUGUAGAAAUCACGUCAUGACUUUUUUCAGCAUUUUUUUCUUGAAUUUUCACAAAAAUAAGCAUCCUGUGACAUUUUAUGUUCAGAAAAAAAAUUCAAAUUAUUUUCAAAUAUUUUGAAAUUGGCAAAAUACAAAAAGACAUUUGCCAAUGUUGCUUAAAUUUUUAAAUGUGUGUGUUUUUUGUGGAAACUUCAUCCUUAUGUUUCUCGUUCAUUUACAAUUAGCUGAUGACAAUGUUUUGUAAGGGUUUGAUAUCAGUUAUUUUCAAAAGUAUCAUUAAAUAAUUUAUUUUUAACUAUAGAAAGUUGAAAAAACAUUAUUUGUUUACUCUUUGUAGAUGUAAGUGGCAUAUUGUUAGAAGACUAAUCAAUGUUUUCAGCUUUUUAUAUUCUUUAUAAAACUGCUAAACAGUUAAAGUAAUAGGAGUAACAGUAGAAGAAGUAAUCAAAGGAAGACAGAACAAUCUAAAUGAGAGAGGGGAAAAAAUGGGAAAAAAUAUACAAUAAAAGGAAACAGCCAAAUGAUCCAGCCUCAAAGACAAUUCUCCUAAAAAAUGCAUGCUGUACAACCUUGCAAAUAAAUUGGUUUUAUAUUUUCAGAUGUGGAAUAUGAAGAAUUUCUAUUCAUACAAUGGAGAGCAAGUACAGUCGACUCUCAUACUACAGGGAUUUGAAUUGUGCAGGUUCACUUAUAUGCAGAUUUUCUUUCCUUCUGCCAAGCCAAGACAGUAAAGCCAACCCCCUUUCUUCCUCCUCCUCCUCAGCCUACUCUACCUGAAGACAAUGAGAAUUAAGACCUUUAUUCACUUAAUCAAUGUAAAUAUAUUUUCUUUUCCUUAUGAUUUAGUUAACUUUUUUUGUCUGGCUCAUUAGUUGUAAGAAUGCAGUAUAUUACAUAUAUAGCAUAAAAAUCAGUGUUCAUCAACUGUUUAUGUUAUCAAUAAGGCUUCCAGUCAACAGUAAGCUAUUAGUAAUUCAGUUUUUGAGGAGUCAAAAGUUGUAUGUGGUGUUUUUUACUUUGUUGGCAGUUGGCACCCAUAACUGACGCAUUGUUCAAGGAUGAACUAUACUAGAAUUCUGAAUAAUUGUUCAAACAAACCAUAGCAGGUCUGCAAUCUGCAUCUUUACUCCUCUCCUUUCACUCCAUCCUUUAACACAUCUACACCCCACAGCUGGAUCCACCUGAGUCAGACCCCCAAGUAGUACAAACAUAAGAUGAAAUCUCACUAUGUGUUCAAAACUGUUGAACACAUGUCCUGUAAGCCCUAUGCAACUUAUUUUCUAACAUUUAGAUGUGAAAAUUCAAGAAAUACAAUUGUCAAAUGAUGCAUUCUAUGAAGGCCAGAAAUAAAUAGUAAUUGAACCUAAUAUCUCAUUUGAUGAGACAGUGUUUGCACCAUUUGAAAAAUAAUAUAUUCUUCAAAAUUUCUCUCAAUUCUGAAAAUACAAGAGCAUUACCACUAAUACUUAGCAAUUAUCAACACUCCACAUACCAGGCUUUCUGCUUGGUGUUUUGCAUGUAUGAUUGCUAAUCCUCCACAUAGCAGGAAAAUUAUGUCUUUUUAAUCACAUUUUACAGAGAAGAAACUCAACAGGCUCACCCUUCCCAAAAUUUCCCAGUGAUUACUGUUUUAGGAAUAUGGUCUUCAGAAAUAUUUCCUACUCUCUCAGCAUCCCCACAGUAUUGGCUAUAAGGAACAUAUAAAAUUAAUAGGGAAGUGUUCCUAUUACAAAUGUGAGUACAUGUAUGUAUAAGUAUAUACAUGUGUCUCUAUGUAACAAACAUUAUGCACAAUACCUACCAAAGCUCUAGUGGUCUUGUGGCUCUGCCACCUCUAACACAGGAGGUUCAAGUCCAUUGUCAAAUUGGAGGGUCAUGUGAGAUAUUUUCAAAUCUAGGCCUGAAAUUCACUUAUGUCACUUCCCUCCACCUCCUAUUUGCCAGACCCAAGUGUAUGCUGUGCUGAAUCAAAGACACUGUCUCUUCAACAGUCCACUAUUAUGGUCGCCAAACCAGUUUCAUUCUUUCAGGUUUUGAACACACUUUCCAUCUCCCCAAAGGAAUCGUUUCUAUUCUGUCCUAUCUCAUCAUUGCAUAUGACUGAAGACCAGGGUCAUCAAGAAUGUAGAGUAGUUUCUCAUGCAUCUGGAUAUGGCCCCUGUUGGUCCAAUGACCUAUCAACUAAAAUUGCAAGUUGUUUGCCACCACAUACCUGACAUGGGGGGAGAACGCUCACAAUAAACAUGUCUAAUCCGAAGGAGAAAGUCAGAAGGCAUACAGCAGUCACUGGUUGGUGAUAUUCUGAAACCUUGCUGAGUAGCUAUUUUGAAAACACUUUACUUUAGGGUUCUGAGAGAUUCUUGAUUAGGCCUUUGUCUCUUUCUCUGGGGAAAAAUCUCCCUUACACAUGUCCAUCUAGACCCUACGUUCUGGAAAGGUACUCUUGUCCACGAAUCUGCCUGUCCACAUCUGAAAUGGGAAUUCCUUAGAAAGUGACCAUCUCAUGAAAAUGAAAAUCCGAGGUCUUGCUUUAGAUGUUAAACAGCCAGAUUUCCUUGACAAUUGUUUAGAAACAACUCUCAGACUGCGUUUUUCAUCUCCUCUUACCCACAGCAAACAUCAAAAAAGAAGACUUCUGUGACUAAAUGUGAGGGGAGGGAGCUUUUCCCUGACCAAGCAACUCCUCAGUGGAUAUCAACUGGGUAUCCUCCAAUUAACUCCAACACUAUCUACCUAUCAGAUCUCACAGGUUGAGGACUCAGUCCCCUAAACUUCUCUUGGCUUCAGACUUCACAAGUCUAAGCCUCCAGAAAUUCCAACCAACCAGCUUCAGGUUGGGCCUUCCAAAAUCCCCUCUUUGGGCUCAAUUAAUUUGCUAGAGUGGCUUACAGAACUUAGGAAAAUACUUACCUUUACUAGUUUAUUAUAGAGGAAAUUACAAAGAAUACAGAUGAAGAGAUGCAUAGGGUGAGGUAUGGGGGAAGGGUUAUAGAGCUUCCAUGCCCACCCUGGGCCUUGCCACCCUCUAGCAACCUCCACACGUUCAUCUAUCUGGAGGCUCCCUGAACCCCGUCCUUUUGUGGUUUUAUAGAGGCUUCAUUACACAGAUACAAUUGACAGCCAUGUAGAAAUGUGACUGGACAAAUAACACAUAAUCUAAAACCAAUGAGGCUUGUCUCUUCAGACUUUUCUUGGACCCUUUGUGUAGCAUUCUUUCUUCUAGGGUAGGAGCAGGGAUUUUCUUUGGAAUGAUUUUUUUUUUUUUUCUUUGAGACAGAGUCUUUCUUUGUUGCCAGGCUGG